AAGUCGUAACAAGGUUUCCGUAGGUGAACCUGCGGAAGGAUCAUUAACACGUAUCCAACGUUAAACAACCCUGUGAACUUUAAGUCCCCUCUUGCAGCCCAUGAGGAACAGCAAUCCCGUUUGAUUCGGGACCUCUGUCCAAAAGGAGUUGCAAUCGAAGGGUGGAAGCAGUGGCAUGGCUUCCCCAAGCAGUUAGUGAAUGACAGUGUCACUGACUGUGUAAGGAUAACGCCUCACGGUUGCUAGAGGUCGAUCACCGACCGGCAGACAUGUCACAGGGUCACCACGCCCCUUAAUCACUCCACUUGAAAAUGCCCCGCCUAGUGGUAACGCGCUAGGUAAAAAAAACCGAACAACUGUUAACAAUGGAUAUCUUGGUUCUC
RNAcentral lists this unclassified non-coding RNA (383 nucleotides) under fungal sp. Its description in RNAcentral is "partial internal transcribed spacer region". The stretch from base 1 to 46 matches the Rfam family "Eukaryotic small subunit ribosomal RNA", at positions 1786 to 1831 of the family's 1831-position model. Lineage: Eukaryota; Fungi. The record is from RNAcentral.